This 227-nucleotide ribosomal RNA is filed under the name uncultured Rhodospirillaceae bacterium. RNAcentral's name for it is "partial 16S ribosomal RNA". It matches the Rfam family "Bacterial small subunit ribosomal RNA", at positions 29 to 273 of the family's 1533-position model. The record is from RNAcentral. Lineage: Bacteria; Pseudomonadati; Pseudomonadota; Alphaproteobacteria; Rhodospirillales; Rhodospirillaceae.
AACGAACGCUGGCGGCAUGCCUAACACAUGCAAGUCGAACGAGAAGCUACCUUCGGGUAGUGGAAAGUGGCGCACGGGUGAGUAACGCGUGGGAACCUGCCCCGAGGUUCGGAAUAACGACUGGAAACGGUCGCUAAUACCGGAUGAGCCCUGAGGGGGAAAGAUUUAUCGCCUUGGGAGGGGCCCGCGUCCGAUUAGCUUGUUGGUGUGGUAACGGCGCACCAAGG